This 1455-nucleotide ribosomal RNA is filed under the name uncultured bacterium. RNAcentral's name for it is "16S ribosomal RNA". It matches the Rfam family "Bacterial small subunit ribosomal RNA". The record is from RNAcentral.
AGUUUGAUCCUGGCUCAGAACGAACGCUGGCGGCAUGCCUAACACAUGCAAGUCGAACGAACCCUUCGGGGUUAGUGGCGCACGGGUGCGUAACGCGUGGGAACCUGCCUUUAGGUUCGGAAUAACUCUCCGAAAGGGGUGCUAAUACCGAAUAAUGUCUUCGGACCAAAGAUUUAUCGCCUUUAGAUGGGCCCGCGUUGGAUUAGCUAGUUGGUGGGGUAAAGGCCUACCAAGGCGACGAUCCAUAGCUGGUCUGAGAGGAUGAUCAGCCACACUGGGACUGAGACACGGCCCAGACUCCUACGGGAGGCAGCAGUGGGGAAUAUGCGACAGAUGGUCGUAAGCCUGCUCCAGCAAUGUCGCGUGAGUGAUGUAGGCCUUCGGUCUGUAAAGCUCUUUUAUCCAGGUUGUUAAUGACAGUACCUGUUGCCUAAGCUCUGGCUUACUCCGUGCCAUCAUCUCCGGUAUUUCGGAGGUAGCUAGCGUUGUUCGGAAUUCCUGGGUGUAAAGCGCACGUAGGUGGCUUUUUAAGUCCGGGGUGAAAUCUCGUGGCUCAACCCCGGAACUUCCUCUGAAACUGUUUGGCUAGAUUCUUGGAGAGGCGAGUGGAAUUCCGAGUGUAGAGGUGAAAUUUGUAGAUAUUCGGAAGAACCCCAGUGGCGAAGGCGACUGGCUGGACAAGUAUUGACGCUGAGGUGCGAAAGCGUGGGGAGCAAACAGGAUUAGAUCCCCUGGUAGUCCACGCCGUAAACGAUGAUAACUAGCUGUCCGGGCUCAUAGAGCUUGGGUGGCGCAGCUAACGCAUUAAGUUAUCCGGCUGGGGAGUAUGGUCGCAUGAUUAAGACUCAAAGGCAUGUGACGGUGGCCUGCACCCUCGGUUGAGCAUGUGGUUUAAUUCGCAGCAACGCGCCGAUCGUUUCCAGCUUUUGAGGUCUCCGGUCUCGGGGAGAGGAGAUUCUUCCCUUCGGUUCCGCUGGACCGGUGACAGGUGCUGCCUGGCUGUCGUCAGCUCCGUGUCGUGAGAUGUUGGGUCUAAGUCCCGCAACGAGCGCCACCCUCGUCUCUUAGUUGCCAUCAUUAAGUUGGGAACUCUAAGGAAACCGCCGGUGAUAAGCCGGAGGAAGGUGGGGAUGACGUCAAGUCCUCAUGGCCCUUACAAGCUGGGCUACACACGUGCUACAAUGGCGAUGACAGUGAGCAGCGAUCCCGCAAGGGCUAGCUAAUCUCUAAAAGUCGUCUCAGUUCGGAUUGUCCUCUGCAACUCGAGGGCAUGAAGGCGGAAUCGCUAGUAAUCGCGGAUCAGCAUGCCGCGGUGAAUACGUUCCCAGGCCUUGUACACACCGCCCGUCACACCAUGGGAGUUGGUUUCACCCGAAGGCGCUGCGCUAACCCGCAAGGGAGGCAGGCGACCACGGUGGGAUCAGCGACUGGGGUGAAGUCGUAACAAGGUAGCCG